UUUUUUUGGUGGUGUGGCUGAUUGAGAACCCGCGGAGCGGGGUCGAGUCGAGCGCUAGCGACACAUUGCCGCAGGUUUUUCGUGGCAACCCGAAGGGUGAGGAGUGGAACGACGAAUCAACCCGUCACUUAUAAAC
This 136-nucleotide small RNA is filed under the name Oceanospirillaceae bacterium. RNAcentral describes it as "RtT sRNA". It matches the Rfam family "RtT RNA". From Rfam's summary of the family: This family represents a bacterial cis-regulatory element known as RtT RNA. The exact function of RtT is unknown although it is thought that it may be involved in changing the cellular response in relation to amino acid starvation. The record is from RNAcentral. Lineage: Bacteria; Pseudomonadati; Pseudomonadota; Gammaproteobacteria; Oceanospirillales; Oceanospirillaceae.